This 460-nucleotide ribosomal RNA is filed under the name uncultured bacterium. Its description in RNAcentral is "partial 16S ribosomal RNA". It matches the Rfam family "Bacterial small subunit ribosomal RNA", at positions 338 to 795 of the family's 1533-position model. The record is from RNAcentral.
CCUACGGGCGGCUGCAGUGAGGAAUAUUGGUCAAUGGACGAGAGUCUGAACCAGCCAAGUAGCGUGAAGGAUGACUGCCCUAUGGGUUGUAAACUUCUUUUAUAUGGGAAUAAAACGUUCCACGUGUGGGAUUUUGUAUGUACCAUAUGAAUAAGGAUCGGCUAACUCCGUGCCAGCAGCCGCGGUAAUACGGAGGAUCCGAGCGUUAUCCGGAUUUAUUGGGUUUAAAGGGAGCGUAGGUGGAUUGUUAAGUCAGUUGUGAAAGUUUGCGGGUCAACCGUAAAAUUGCAGUUGAAACUGGCAGUCUUGAGUACAGUAGAGGUGGGCGGAAUUCGUGGUGUAGCGGUGAAAUGCUUAGAUAUCACGAAGAACUCCGAUUGCGAAGGCAGUUCACUGGACUGCAACUGACACUGAGGCUCGAAAGUGUGGGUAUCAAACAGGAUUAGAUACCCCAGUAGUC